AGAGUAAGUUGUUUGAUCGCGUGCUAUAUGCAUGAGGAAAGUCCGUGCUCCAUAGAGCAAGAUGCUGGAUAACGUCCAGUGGGGGUGACCCUAAGGAUAGUGCAACAGAGAGAUACCACCUAUUUUUAAUAGGUAAGGGUGGAAAGGUGAGGUAAGAGCUUACCAGCAUUUAGGUGACUAAAUGGCUAUGUAAACCCCAUCUGGAGCAAGACCAAAAGGGAACAGAAAAGGUGGUUGCUCGCUACCGUUCCAAUGGUAGGUCGCAUGAAUCUACUGGCAACAGUAGAUCUAGAUAGAUGAUCAAAUAAACAGAACACGGCUUAUAGAUUUACUCUUAGU
This 339-nucleotide RNase P RNA is filed under the name Wansuia hejianensis. RNAcentral describes it as "RNase P RNA component class A". It matches the Rfam family "Bacterial RNase P class A". Rfam says of the family: Ribonuclease P (RNase P) is a ubiquitous endoribonuclease, found in archaea, bacteria and eukarya as well as chloroplasts and mitochondria. Its best characterised activity is the generation of mature 5'-ends of tRNAs by cleaving the 5'-leader elements of precursor-tRNAs. Lineage: Bacteria; Bacillati; Bacillota; Clostridia; Lachnospirales; Lachnospiraceae. The record is from RNAcentral.